GAUGAACACUGGCGGCGUGCCUAAUACAUGCAAGUCGAGCGAAUGGAUUAAGAGCUUGCUCUUAUGAAGUUAGCGGCGGACGGGUGAGUAACACGUGGGUAACCUGCCCAUAAGACUGGGAUAACUCCGGGAAACCGGGGCUAAUACCGGAUAACAUUUUGAACCGCAUGGUUCGAAAUUGAAAGGCGGCUUCGGCUGUCACUUAUGGAUGGACCCGCGUCGCAUUAGCUAGUUGGUGAGGUAACGGCUCACCAAGGCAACGAUGCGUAGCCGACCGGGGAGGGUGAUCGGCCACACUGGGACUGAGACACGGCCCAGACUCCUACGGGAGGCAGCAGUAGGGAAUCUUCCGCAAUGGACGAAAGUCUGACGGAGCAACGCCGCGUGAGUGAUGAAGGCUUUCGGGUCGUAAAACUCUGUUGUUAGGGAAGAACAAGUGCUAGUUGAAUAAGCUGGCACCUUGACGGUGCCUAACCAGAAAGCCACGGCUAACUACGUGCCAGCCGCCGCGGUAA
This 515-nucleotide ribosomal RNA is filed under the name uncultured bacterium. RNAcentral's name for it is "partial 16S ribosomal RNA". It matches the Rfam family "Bacterial small subunit ribosomal RNA", at positions 28 to 523 of the family's 1533-position model. The record is from RNAcentral.